This 1819-nucleotide long non-coding RNA is filed under the name Homo sapiens (human). RNAcentral describes it as "HSALNT0331440". The record is from RNAcentral. Lineage: Eukaryota; Metazoa; Chordata; Mammalia; Primates; Hominidae.
CACGUCGCCCGCCCUAGUCUGCUUUUGUGAAUCUCCACUUUGUUCAACCCCCACCCGCCGUCUCUCCCUCCCUGCGCCUUCCCUCUAACCUUAAAGACCCAGCUACCUCUACGCAAAUGGUAGCUACCUCUGCGCAGGUGGAAGUUGAGUUCGGUUCACGCGGGACCCUCUUCCCUGUGGCAAGCUGCUGAAGGAGACCUGCUGUUACUGCUUUAGCUGCUGUUCUGCUUAAUCUCAGACAGCUGGAAGGUAGUAUUCCGCCCUCGCCCAGCCACCCGAGUAAAUGAGAAUGAUGACUGACUGAGACCCUGAUGGUGGUGGCUUAGGCUUAAUCUCAGACAGCUGGAAGGUAGUAUUCCGCCCUCACCCAGCCACCCGAGUAAAUGAGAAUGAUGACUGACUGAGACCCUGAUGGUGGUGGCUUAGGCAAGAUGAACGUCUGAAAUGGAGGCCCAGGGCUGCCACGAUGGCUCUGUAGUCAUCAGGGAGGGAGCUCCUUUUAUCUUGUUACCUACUCCCCUCUUGUGCCCCUUUCUUCCCUUGAUCUAAGAAGGUUGCUCCGGAUCUCGCCAUCUGGCCUGCGUUCAAUCAGCAGAAGCUUCCUGGAGGAGCAGGAGGAGGCACUGUGCUCGCAUCACAUACCAGUGGCCAGAAGUUGGCUUCAGGGAAGCUCAGGAAAUAGGAUGCGAGAAGCCAUGAGACCUCCCCAAACUCUGCAGUAACAGAGUCAACAAGACAAUGGCUUAAAGAUGGAGAGACCAGUUGAUCGGUCACACAAGCUGUUCCACGAUAAUUCUUGUGUCAGAAGGGGAGGCUGACUACCAGGACCACUGGCCCCACUUCCAGCCCCUCCAUUCUGAGUACACUUCAGAGGGCUCUGGCAGGGUGAGGGGGUCUUGGUGGUGCCACAGAGAGUAAAGGUCUAGCACACCCAUUGUGGAGAUAUUUCAUGGGGACAACCCAGUGACUUCACUUGAAGUAAAGUGGGAUUUUCCAACCUUGAGAUUCUUAUUUUCUUUGCUCCAGCUGGUCCUUCCAUUCGGGGUCCCUGACUUCCCGCAACAUAGAACCCUCAAAUAGAUGAAGCACGUGCCCAGCUUCCUUUCAAGUCUCUGGCCAAUGCAAUGUGAGCAGAAGUGAAGGGGCAACUUUCAGGUGAUGACUUGGAAAAGAAAGCUUAGUCCUCUGCUUCUCCUGUCACCCGAAAGAGAAACAGAGGCUUGUCUUGUUGAAGCCAGUGUGUUUGGUGUCUUUUUGUAUAGUGGCUUAGACAGUGGCCUAACUAGAAGACCAAGGCUCAAAGGAACACAUUUUGAGCUUCUCCACAGUUUGAGAACCUCUACAUUACCUACACCAAGCCUUCCCCAGCACUCAAUUUAUGGAAGACCAUUUCUCUUCUCAUGACACAUGUCCUCAUGUUGCUUUGGCCUGUUUUAAAGCUUUCUCAACUCCAUCUCAAUAAAGAAAUCUGCAGCUUUGUUGGAUGAGAGGAUCUAAAAAGUUCGUUCUUCCAAUCGGUUGUAAAUAUAGACACUAAUUUAUAAACUGACACAGGAACACACAGCAAAUUAGUAGAAAAUCCGAUUCCUGUUCCCUUUUCUCCUUGCAUUGUUUCCUGCCAAUGCUCACCAUUUCUUUAUCCUUUCCACUCUUCCUUGCUCCUCCUUCCCUUUAAUUUUUCUCUGUUGUGCCUAAAUAAGCUGUCCAUGCAUGGCACUCCAUGGGCUCUGAUAACAGACUCAACAAGACAAUGACUUAAAGAUGGAGUGACCAGCUGAUCAGUCACACAAGUUGUUCCAGUGUAAUUAUUUUCACAGGU